UUUGGAAUAUUUUUAGAAGGAAUGGUACCAGCUCUUCUUUGUACCUCUAGUAGAAUUCGGCUCUGAAUUUGGUUCCACUCUCCCCAUCACUUUCAGGUACACCAACCAAAGGAAAAACAUCCAGGCAAGUGGACAGCAUUUGCAACAGCCCAGCAAUAAGAAGGACCAUAUUCUACUUGGGAAAAGGUAAAGUCGUUUCAUAUGGACGGAGGUGAGUUCAAGGGGGAAAAGAAAUGGAACUUGCCAAGUAAGUGGAGGCUGGCUCUUAAAGUUUGUUCUUCAGGCAAUGGGGAGCCAUUGAUAAGAUGUUAGUUAGAGAGUGCUUAUGUUAAUUCUCAAUUUAUUAUUAAAAUACUUUGAAUAUUUUAGGAACAUAUUUCGAGCUCUACACAUACUUCUUGUAUUUUGGUGGUCUUGAAGUCACAGGGCAGAGCUAGGAGUUAAUUUCAGUUCCAACUCAUGGUAUGACUUAGCAAGUAAAGUCUUAUUUUAGGUCCUUAGUUUUCUCAUCUCUAAAUGAAGAAAAAGAAAAGCAAGGGAUUGGCAAGCUUAACAUGCUCAAUAGUUUUUCUUUGCUGAACUAUUCCCGGAGGGUCAACCAGCCUUCAAUAGGUGUGAUUAAUAAGUUACAAAAGAUAAAUAGAGUGUCUUCAAAGAUUUUAUGUUCCUUAUUUAAAUUUUACCUGUCUUUACAGCCUGCCAGGAAACCUGUCAUUCAACCCUUUGCAAUAAAACAGCUCCUCAUGAAUGAAGCAAAAUAAAUCAGAAGUUGUGGGCUUUUAAACUCACUAAAUGAAAGCACAGCAUGCAUGCAGCCUCCCUCCAAAUUAAUCACCAGAUUAAAUGCAAGAUGUGCACACCAAAUCAAUAGCUUGUGACGGGGACCUCCUGCCUGUGCUUCAGGAAAAUUCCAUUUCCUUUCAGAUGUUGUCGCUUGAAAUGUCAGGAAGUUUCCAUUCAUCACCCGCCCUUGAAAAUGCCACCAUCACCAUACUUCAUGUUUCCUUGCUUUCUUUCUUCAGAGGAAUCCAAGCACCUUGCAGAGGGAGCCCACUCCUUGUCACAGACUCUCCUGGAGGCUGAAACAGGGGCAGUCUGCACAGAGGAGAGGUGUAGAGAGGCGCGAUUUAGAAAUAAGAAAACCAAAUCGUAAAGAAGCCUAAUGUCUUGUUGCAACAUCUGAAAGAAACAAGAUGAAUAUAUUCCACUAGGUGGGAAGCUUAGGGUAGUGGGAAGAACAUGGAUUCAGGACUUUGAGAAACAUGGAUUUAAAUUUUGAUCCCCAAUGCCUCUCUGCACUUCACUGUUAUCUAUAAAAUAGAGGAAAUAAAAAUACUAUACAUUCAAGUCUUAACACCAACAGUUAACUAGUUGUGUAACCUUGGACAAGUUAUGUGACCUCUCUGUCUGAGCAUUGUCAUUUGUAUAUGAGAUCAUGGAGGUUAAAUGUCCAACCUGUUGUCACUGUGCACCUCAAAAUAAUAAAUAAAACAUUUCAUCUCUCAA
This 1506-nucleotide long non-coding RNA is filed under the name Homo sapiens (human). Its description in RNAcentral is "PREDICTED lncRNA (TCONS_00017144)". Lineage: Eukaryota; Metazoa; Chordata; Mammalia; Primates; Hominidae. The record is from RNAcentral.